RNAcentral lists this ribosomal RNA (316 nucleotides) under uncultured bacterium. Its description in RNAcentral is "bacterial SSU rRNA". It matches the Rfam family "Bacterial small subunit ribosomal RNA", at positions 8 to 334 of the family's 1533-position model. The record is from RNAcentral.
AGGGUUUGAUUAUGGCUCAGAACGAACGCUGGCGGCAGGCUUAACACAUGCAAGUUGAACGGGAUUUGUAUGGUGCUUGCACCAUGUAAUGAGAGUAGCGCACUGGUGAGUAACACGUGGGAACAUACCUUGAAGUGGGGGACAACAGUUGGAAACGACUGCUAAUACCGCAUAAUCCCUGAGGGGGAAAGAUUUAUCGCUUUAAGAUUGGCCCGCGGAAGAUUAGGUAGUUGGUGGGGUAAAGGCCUACCAAGCCGACGAUCUAUAGCUGGUCUGAGAGGACGAACAGCCACAUUGGAACUGAGACACGGUCCAG